GACGAACGCUGGCGGCGUGCUUAACACAUGCAAGUCGAACGGAAAGGCCCUGCUUUUGUGGGGUGCUCGAGUGGCGAACGGGUGAGUAACACGUGAGUAACCUGCCCUUGACUUUGGGAUAACUUCAGGAAACUGGGGCUAAUACCGGAUAGGAGCUCCUGCUGCAUGGUGGGGGUUGGAAAGUUUCGGCGGUUGGGGAUGGACUCGCGGCUUAUCAGCUUGUUGGUGGGGUAGUGGCUUACCAAGGCUUUGACGGGUAGCCGGCCUGAGAGGGUGACCGGCCAAAUGGGGACUGGGAUAGGCCCCAGCCCCCCAGGGGGGGCAGGAGUGGGGAAUUUGGCAAAAGGGGGGGAAGCCGGAGGCAGCAACGCCGGGGGGGGGAGGAGGGCCUUGGGGUGGUAAACCGCUUUCGCCUGGGACGAAGGGGGGGUGAGGGAAAUGGGUAAAAAAGCACCGGCUAAUUACGU
This 467-nucleotide ribosomal RNA is filed under the name uncultured bacterium. Its description in RNAcentral is "partial 16S ribosomal RNA". It matches the Rfam family "Bacterial small subunit ribosomal RNA", at positions 28 to 506 of the family's 1533-position model. The record is from RNAcentral.